UAUUCGCAGUUCGGUAGCGAAUGUCAACAUGUCCAGAUCAUUUUCCGUAGAAAACCCCGAGAGGGUUGUUUUGUAAAAUCUACAAACUGUGAACAUUAUCGAAGCAUUGCAGAAGCCCAGGGACAGUUAUGACAAAUUAAAUCAUAGUUAUUUAUGCCCGGGAAAUUCCGAUCAGCCAAAAGGGAAGCUUGAACUUGAAGGUCACAAACAUGUGCAAAAUUGCAGAUCCACGUUGCCUCGUCUGAAGUCAUGUCCUGUGCAGUGAGCAUGAGAAAAUCAACCCUACUUUACCCUAGACUAGAAAAAAGACUUGAGGUCAGAAUGCAGGAUGAUUGAGCAAGGAGUGCUGGCAGAUGGACUAUUGAGGUCAACAAAAAAUUUGGACUUUCAUCAGGUGGACACAUGUUCAGCAAGAAAUUCUCACAUCAAAUGAAUGAUGGCUGUCUGUGGAAAAGAGAUUUUCUCAGAAUAUAUCACAGAUCAGAAGCAGGAAUUACAUAUUUAUCUGAUCAAAGAAAUAUUUUUGUAGAAAUGUGGAAGUCAAUGCAUGUUAUCAUAGUUACUGCUGCUUGUUGCAUGAUUCCAUUCUUGAUUUUUUUCAGAAACUUUCAGUCAAAAAUAGUUUUAUUUAUAAUUAUAUAAUGUUUAAUUAUUUGAUUCCCAAGUACCCGAUACAGUGCACACUUUGUAGAAUGUGAUUACUUUACAAAAUCUUUGAUUCAGAUUUGAAAUCUUACUCCCAGAGUGAAUUUUUCAAGCAUUAUCUUUCAUUAGAUUACAAUGUGAAGAUUUACGUGUACUGGCAUUACAACAACUUGUAAAUGAUAUAUACCUAGCUCUAUGUAUUCAGUUGCUUUACAUUUUCAAAUACAGUUAAAAUCUUAAAAUACAGUUCUGGAAUACAUAAAAAUGUGCCUGCUUUAGAUCAUUUAGUUAAAGGGUGGUUUUAAGCAAGAGCAUGUCGAACAAAAUUGCUGGUAGUGGCCGGGUUAAAAUUUAGAUUUUUACAAAUGAACUACAUACAUGUACUUGCAGUAGAAACCCUCAAGAGGUAAUUUUUAAUUCAUUUCAAUAUAAGUUAUUGACACUGAUCAAUAAAUGUUUGUGCUACAAAUUCUUAAAAAGAAAUUUCAUCCUUGAAUAAGUAUUUUGCAUCUAAAUGUGAAAUUAAGUUUGAUAGCUGCAUGCAUAUUAUUGUUACAAAGUUCAAGGAUGUCAUUUUCAGGCAAAGAUGUCAAAGGGCAUUUGAUUGCCAUAGAUGGCUUUUUCGUUAUCUUAAAACUCCAGCAAAUUUUACGCAAUAUGUGAUCACAAUGAGGAGUUAUAUUUAUUGGUGCUGAACAAACUAUAUACUUAUAAAUGUGUGUAGGUAUUUAUUGUCCCUCGCUUUCGCGAAAGAGAGGGGACAUUAAAUCUCAUUCAUCUGUCGGGCUGUCUGUCACAAAAACUUUAACCUUGGCCAUAACUUUUGAGUGAGAAGAGAUUGGGCUUUUGUAUUUCACAUGUACAUUACCUGUAACAAGACCUUUCCAAAUAUACUGUGAAUUUUGACCCCGUGGCCUUGGCCUUGAAGUUUGACCUACUUUUCAAAAAAAUUAACAUUACCUUAAAUUGGUCAUAACUUUUGAAUGAGAAAAGAUAGGACUUUCAUAUUAUGCCUGUUUAUUACCUGUGACAAGACCUUUCGAAAUUAUACUAUGACUUUUGACCCCGUGACCUUGACCUUGAAGUUUGACCUACUUUUCAGAAAAUUGACAUUUCUUUAAAUUGGUCAUUAAAUUUAAAUGAGAAAAGAUAGGGCUUUCAUAUUAAAUAUGAACAUUACCUGUAAGAAUACCUUUCCAAGUGUACUAUGAUUUUUGACCCCAUGACUAUUACCUUGAAGUUUGACCUACUUUUCAAAAUUUUUAUCUUUGCUUAUAACUUUUGAUUUAGAAUAGUUAGGGCUUUCAUAUUUAAUAUGUGCAUUAGUAGUGACAAAGUGUUUCCAAGCAUGCUAUAAUUUUUGACCCCUUUACCUUGACCUUCAUGUUUGACCUAAAUUUCAAAAAUUUUAUAUUUGGUGAUUACUUUUGAAUGACAUAUGAUAGGGUGUUCAUAUUUGACAAGUGCAUUACCUGUGUCAAAAUGUUUCUGAAUAUGCUAUGAUAUUUGACCCCGUGACCUUGACCUUCCAGUUUGACCUAAUUUUCAAACAUUUCAUCAGUUUGCUAACUUUUGAAGGAGCAAAGAUACGGCAUUCAUAUUUGACAAGUGCAUUACCUGUGACAAGCAUUUCCAAAUGUACUAUGAUUUUUAAUCCCAUGACCUUGACCUUGAAGUUUGACCUAAUUUUUAAAAAGUUUAUCAUUGCGAAUAACAUUUGAUUGAGAGAAGAGAUGGUAUUUACAUUUGACAUGUGCAUUACCUGUUUCAAGACCUUUCUGAUUGUAUACUCUGGUUUCUGAUAUUUUUUUUUACAUGUGCAUCACUUGUGAGAAGAUCUUUUGGAUUUUAUUAUGAUAUUUGACCUCAUGACCUUGAUCUUGAAGUUUGAUGUAGUUUUGAGAAGCUAUAGUCUUUGCCAUAACUGUUAUUAAUUCAAUAAUUUAUGUUUUUUUGUAUGAUGCACUGAUAAGACAGGACAAACAAAUAAGACAGUUAAAAUAUGCCAUAAAUAAUGGCAUUGGCAUCCCAUCCACUAAGAUAUUGAAAGCGGGGGACCACAAUUCUUUGAAUUUGCUUGUUGUUUUCAAAACUCAGUUUACAAAUGUAAAAUAUCCAAUAAUAACAUAAUACCAGGGACCUAUAUGUAUAUAACUACAUAUACAUGUACAUGUAUAGGCAUAUAUAUUAGUCCCUCUGAUAUUCAUAUAUUAAGCUUUGAAUGGCAUGUUCACUAUACAUGUAUAUUGAUUUCAUGUUUAUGUCAUAAAUAAUGUAUUGAAAUCUUUUC
Saccostrea echinata is the source of this 2935-nucleotide long non-coding RNA. RefSeq lists it as uncharacterized. The record is from RefSeq and is a predicted model, not a curated record. Lineage: Eukaryota; Metazoa; Mollusca; Bivalvia; Ostreida; Ostreidae. The transcript has 3 exons.